UGAGUAACCUGCCCUUAACUCUGGGAUAAGCCUGGGGAAACUGGGUCUAAUACCGGAUAUGACUCCUCAUCGCAUGGUGGGGGGUGGAAAGCUUUAUUGUGGUUUUGGAUGGACUCGCGGCCUAUCAGCUUGUUGGUGAGGUAAUGGCUCACCAAGGCGACGACGGGUAGCCGGCCUGAGAGGGUGACCGGCCACACUGGGACUGAGACACGGCCCAGACCUCCGUACGGGGAGGCAG
Molecule: ribosomal RNA, 238 nt
Filed under: uncultured bacterium
Lineage: Bacteria
Description: partial 16S ribosomal RNA
Rfam family: Bacterial small subunit ribosomal RNA
Source: RNAcentral